GAGUUUGAUCAUGGCUCAGAACGUACGCUGGCGGCACGCCUAACACAUGCAAGUCGAACGAAGUAGCAAUACUUAGUGGCAGACGGGUGAGUAACAUGUGGGUAUCUACCCUUUGGCCUGGAAUAACACGAGGAAACUUGUGCUAAUACCGGAUAAGUCUUUACGGAGAAAGCUUUAUGCACCAUUGGAUGAGCCCGCACUUGAUUAGUUUGUUGGUGGGGUAAUGGCCUACCAAGACUUUGAUCAAUAGCUGAUUUGAGAGGAUGAUCAGCCACAUUGGGACUGAGACACGGCCCAGACUCCUACGGGAGGCAGCAGUGGGGAAUAUUGGACAAUGGGCGAAAGCCUGAUCCAGCCAUGCCGCGUGAGUGAAGAAGGCCUUAGGGUUGUAAAACUCUUUCGACAGGGAAGAUAAUGACGAUACCUGUAUAAGAAGCUCCGGCUAACUCCGUGCCAGCAGCCGCGGUAAUACGGAGGGGGCAAGCGUUGCUCGGAAUUACUGGGCGUAAAGCGAGCGUAGGCGGUUAAUCAAGUUGGUGGUGAAAGCCCGGAGCUCAACUCCGGAACUGCCAUCAAAACUGAUUUACUUGAGAUUGGUAGAGGAAAAUGGAAUUCCUAGUGUAGAGGUGAAAUUCGUAGAUAUUGGGAAGAACAUCGGUGGCGAAGGCGAUUUUCUGGGCCAUAUCUGACGCUGAGGUUCGAAAGCGUGGGUAGCAAACAGGAUUAGAUACCCUGGUAGUCCACGCCGUAAACGAUGAGUGCUAGACGUUGGAGAUUAAUUUUUCAGUGUCGUAGUUAACGCAUUAAGCACUCCGCCUGGGGAGUACGGUCGCAAGAUUAAAACUCAAAGGAAUUGACGGGGGCCCGCACAAGCGGUGGAGCAUGUGGUUUAACUCGACGCAACGCGAAGAACCUUACCAGCUCUUGACAUUGCUAAGUCGCGAGUUUUAGAGAUAAAACUCUUCAGUUCGGCUGGACUUAGUACAGGUGCUGCAUGGCUGUCGUCAGCUCGUGUCGUGAGAUGUUGGGUUAAGUCCCGCAACGAGCGCAACCCUUGUCCUUAGUUGCCAGCAAUUCGGUUGGGCACUCUAGGGAGACUGCCGGUGAUAAACCGGAGGAAGGCGGGGAUGACGUCAAGUCCUCAUGGCCCUUACGGGCUGGGCUACACACGUGCUACAAUGGCGUCUACAAUGGGUCGCAAUAGGGCAACCUAGAGCUAAUCUCAAAAAGACGUCUCAGUUCGGAUUGUACUCUGCAACUCGAGUACAUGAAGUUGGAAUCGCUAGUAAUCGCGGAUCAGAACGCCGCGGUGAAUACGU
This 1319-nucleotide ribosomal RNA is filed under the name unidentified marine bacterioplankton. RNAcentral's name for it is "partial 16S ribosomal RNA". It matches the Rfam family "Bacterial small subunit ribosomal RNA", at positions 9 to 1371 of the family's 1533-position model. The record is from RNAcentral.